CGGGCGGGGGGGGGGAGAGCGGGGCGGCCGGGCGCUGCCGCCGUCUCCCUGCCGCUGCCGUAACGUCCUGACGCUCCGCAGGGACCCGCUGGCCGGACGAAAAUGCAUGCUGCCUCAGUGCUGCAGUUCUCCCUUUUGCCCACCAGAGGGCACUGUGCGCUGGAACAGACAGUGACCAGCAGUAACAGGCAGCAGCUGACUGCGUUCAUCACGGCGCCCUGCCCGUGGAGCCAGGUAAAAGCUACUUCUGCUGAGCUGAGUAAGGGUCAGCGCUAAAAGAUGUUUGUAGGUUUCCCAGAAUGUUAACCCUUUUUCUGGACAACUGACUGCUGAGUCUUUGAUCCCUCUGUCCUCAUGAAAGGGCUUUGAACUCUUCAUUUCCCCAAGGAUAAGGGAAAAUAAUGGUGUUAUCUGCAUUGAAGUGUUUCAUUAGUUAGUUUUUUUUUCCUGGAGAAAUGUAGUUAAAUUACAGAUCUCUGAGAUGUCUUUAAGGAUGGGCAAUAAUUACUAUUUAGUUCAACAAAAACCUAGAUUCCAUACUUUAUCCUUGAGCCAGUUUUAUAUUCUGCCAAAUUAUUUUCCCAACAAGAACAGAAGCCUUGGAAGAUUAAAACAAAUUGGGUGUAUUAAGAGAAAUGGAGGCAUGUGGUUUCAUACCAAGUUUAUUUCUUUUAGUUUUUCAUAAUCACUUCUUUUGCACAACAACAACCUCAAGUUGACAAUUAAAUGCACGUGGUAGACCUAAAGGAACCAGACCAGGCUCCGUUACAGUGAUGGAAAGUCUGUUCAUAACACCAUUUACAGUAUCUUAUUGAGCUGUCUAUUUGGGAAGAACAAAGCUAGCACGCACUGGGUCAUGAGGAGUGAAUCCUGCACAAGGCCAAUGACAUUCAAACCCAAACUGGCUCCAGAGAGAACAAGAGGGCAGCCCUGGGGAACUGAAUGGGCCCAUUGUUUAAUUUUUGUCUUUCCAAGGAGGUGGCCGAUGAUGUAAUAGUCAUACUCAGCACUUGCAGAGUGCUUUCCGUCUUCAAAGUGCUGUGCAGACAUUAACUUGUUAAUCCUCUCAACACCCCUGUGAGGUAGGGAAGUAUUAUUAUCCCCAUGUUACAGAUGAGGGAACUGAGAGACACAGAGAGGUGGAGAGCAUCUCUACCCUGCAAGAAAAUCUGCGGCAGCAAGCCUCGGCGCCCGGGGUCAAUUGAUGUGGGCUUAUGGGGCGAAAAGUAGCACUGCAGACAUGCCUGCUUGGACGGGCUCAGGCUCGGAAACCCAGCAAGGGGGCUGGGUUUUCAGACUGAGCAGGAAUGUCUACUUUAUUUUUAGCCGUGUAGCGCUGGCCCAAGUCAGUUGAUCCGAGCUCUGAGCCUGCUAGUGCAGGCCUUUUUUUUUUUUUUGCAGUGUAGACUUACCCCAAAUGACUUGCCCAAGGCAGCCAGGAUAAGAAUUCAGGCAUUCCGGGCUGCAAUUCCUGUGUUCAGAUAACACAUCCCUCCAGCUUCCAAUGAAGUCGGUUAUCCCCUCAUCCCCCAGUAGGCUCUGGAUUAUAGAAACCUAAAUGUUGGUCUGUGCCCCUUAUCUACAUUACUUAGACACCUGUACAGAGAUGGAGUUUAUUGGUCCUAAUAUGUCAUGUCAUCCCAUCCCUCGCAUGGUUCGCGAUAAGUCUCUAUAGCACCAUAAACAGCCAUUCCCUGACUCUUGUUUCAAGUUUGAUAGGGUGAUAUGUGGGCAUAUGCAUAUAGAGUGUAUACACAUGCGCAUAUCUGUGCGUGCACACCGUAUGUGAAUACACACACGUCACCACCGCAAGUGCGCAAAGACAGUAAUGCUGCUUAAUGGAAUGAAACAAAUUACGUGAGACGACAAAGUUAAACAGAACCAGGGGUAGAGAGUCUCACUGGUCCUUGCAAGAGAAAAAACCUGAAAUGUACAUUUUACAGGAGCUGUGUCACAGCUCUGAUCCCUAUUGUAACAUGCAUGCAAUUGUCUGAAUUGCGAGUGGCACUAAAAGGCUAGCAUUUGGGGUAACUCCCACACUCUGACU
Trachemys scripta elegans is the source of this 2047-nucleotide long non-coding RNA. RefSeq lists it as uncharacterized. NCBI's taxonomy places the organism in Eukaryota, Metazoa, Chordata, Testudines, Emydidae. The transcript is spliced from 3 exons. The record is from RefSeq and is a predicted model, not a curated record.